GGGUUGUGAGGUUAAGCGACUAAGCGUACACGGUGGAUGCCCUGGCAGUCAGAGGCGAUGAAGGGCGUGCUAAUCUGCGAUAAGCGCCGGUAAGGUGAUAUGAACCGUUAUAACCGGCGAUACCCGAAUGGGGAAACCCAGUGUGACUCGUCACACUAUCAUUAACUGAAUCCAUAGGUUAAUGAGGCGAACCGGGGGAACUGAAACAUCUAAGUACCCCGAGGAAAAGAAAUCAACCGAGAUUCCCCCAGUAGCGGCGAGCGAACGGGGAGGAGCCCAGAGCCUGAAUCAGCAUGUGUGUUAGUGGAAGCGUCUGGAAAGGCGCGCGAUACAGGGUGACAGCCCCGUACACAAAAGCGCAUGUGCUGUGAGCUCGAUGAGUAGGGCGGGACACGUGGUAUCCUGUCUGAAUAUGGGGGGACCAUCCUCCAAGGCUAAAUACUCCUGACUGACCGAUAGUGAACCAGUACCGUGAGGGAAAGGCGAAAAGAACCCCGGCGAGGGGAGUGAAAAAGAACCUGAAACCGUGUACGUACAAGCAGUGGGAGCNNNNNNNNNNNNNNNNNNNNNNNNNNNNNNNNNNNNNNNNNNNGGGCGUUAAGUUGCAGGGUAUAGACCCGAAACCCGGUGAUCUAGCCAUGGGCAGGUUGAAGGUUGGGUAACACUAACUGGAGGACCGAACCGACUAAUGUUGAAAAAUUAGCGGAUGACCUGUGGCUGGGGGUGAAAGGCCAAUCAAACCGGGAGAUAGCUGGUUCUCCCCGAAAGCUAUUUAGGUAGCGCCUCGUGAAUUCAUCUCCGGGGGUAGAGCACUGUUUCGGCUAGGGGGCCAUCCCGGCUUACCAACCCGAUGCAAACUGCGAAUACCGGAGAAUGUUAUCACGGGAGACACACGGCGGGUGCUAACGUCCGUCGUGAAGAGGGAAACAACCCAGACCGCCAGCUAAGGUCCCAAAGUCAUGGUUAAGUGGGAAACGAUGUGGGAAGGCCCAGACAGCCAGGAUGUUGGCUUAGAAGCAGCCAUCAUUUAAAGAAAGCGUAAUAGCUCACUGGUCGAGUCGGCCUGCGCGGAAGAUGUAACGGGGCUAAACCAUGCACCGAAGCUGCGGCAGCGACACUGUGUGUUGUUGGGUAGGGGAGCGUUCUGUAAGCCUGCGAAGGUGGCCUGUGAGGGUUGCUGGAGGUAUCAGAAGUGCGAAUGCUGACAUAAGUAACGAUAAAGCGGGUGAAAAGCCCGCUCGCCGGAAGACCAAGGGUUCCUGUCCAACGUUAAUCGGGGCAGGGUGAGUCGACCCCUAAGGCGAGGCCGAAAGGCGUAGUCGAUGGGAAACGGGUUAAUAUUCCCGUACUUGGUGUUACUGCGAAGGGGGGACGGAGAAGGCUAUGUUGGCCGGGCGACGGUUGUCCCGGUUUAAGCGUGUAGGUGUGUGUUCCAGGUAAAUCCGGUUCACUUUAACACUGAGGCGUGACGACGAGGCACUACGGUGCUGAAGCAACAAAUGCCCUGCUUCCAGGAAAAGCCUCUAAGCAUCAGGUAACAUCAAAUCGUACCCCAAACCGACACAGGUGGUCAGGUAGAGAAUACCAAGGCGCUUGAGAGAACUCGGGUGAAGGAACUAGGCAAAAUGGUGCCGUAACUUCGGGAGAAGGCACGCUGACACGUAGGUGAAGUGAUUUACUCAUGGAGCUGAAGUCAGUCGAAGAUACCAGCUGGCUGCAACUGUUUAUUAAAAACACAGCACUGUGCAAACACGAAAGUGGACGUAUACGGUGUGACGCCUGCCCGGUGCCGGAAGGUUAAUUGAUGGGGUCAGCGCAAGCGAAGCUCCUGAUCGAAGCCCCGGUAAACGGCGGCCGUAACUAUAACGGUCCUAAGGUAGCGAAAUUCCUUGUCGGGUAAGUUCCGACCUGCACGAAUGGCGUAAUGAUGGCCAGGCUGUCUCCACCCGAGACUCAGUGAAAUUGAACUCGCUGUGAAGAUGCAGUGUACCCGCGGCAAGACGGAAAGACCCCGUGAACCUUUACUAUAGCUUGACACUGAACAUUGAGCCUUGAUGUGUAGGAUAGGUGGGAGGCUUUGAAGUGUGGACGCCAGUCUGCAUGGAGCCGACCUUGAAAUACCACCCUUUAAUGUUUGAUGUUCUAACGUGGACCCGUUACCCGGGUUGCGGACAGUGUCUGGUGGGUAGUUUGACUGGGGCGGUCUCCUCCUAAAGAGUAACGGAGGAGCACGAAGGUUGGCUAAUCCUGGUCGGACAUCAGGAGGUUAGUGCAAUGGCAUAAGCCAGCUUGACUGCGAGCGUGACGGCGCGAGCAGGUGCGAAAGCAGGUCAUAGUGAUCCGGUGGUUCUGAAUGGAAGGGCCAUCGCUCAACGGAUAAAAGGUACUCCGGGGAUAACAGGCUGAUACCGCCCAAGAGUUCAUAUCGACGGCGGUGUUUGGCACCUCGAUGUCGGCUCAUCACAUCCUGGGGCUGAAGUAGGUCCCAAGGGUAUGGCUGUUCGCCAUUUAAAGUGGUACGCGAGCUGGGUUUAGAACGUCGUGAGACAGUUCGGUCCCUAUCUGCCGUGGGCGCUGGAGAACUGAGGGGGGCUGCUCCUAGUACGAGAGGACCGGAGUGGACGCAUCACUGGUGUUCGGGUUGUCAUGCCAAUGGCACUGCCCGGUAGCUAAAUGCGGAAGAGAUAAGUGCUGAAAGCAUCUAAGCACGAAACUUGCCCCGAGAUGAGUUCUCCCUGAGACUUAAAGUCUCCUGAAGGAACGUUGAAGACGACGACGUUGAUAGGCCGGGUGUGUAAGCGCAGCGAUGCGUUGAGCUAACCGGUACUAAUGAACCGUGAGGCUUAACCUUACAACGCCGAAG
RNAcentral lists this ribosomal RNA (2863 nucleotides) under Salmonella enterica subsp. enterica serovar Enteritidis. RNAcentral's name for it is "bacterial LSU rRNA". It matches the Rfam family "Bacterial large subunit ribosomal RNA". The record is from RNAcentral. Lineage: Bacteria; Pseudomonadati; Pseudomonadota; Gammaproteobacteria; Enterobacterales; Enterobacteriaceae.